Molecule: ribosomal RNA, 138 nt
Filed under: uncultured bacterium
Lineage: Bacteria
Description: partial 16S ribosomal RNA
Rfam family: Bacterial small subunit ribosomal RNA
Source: RNAcentral
UGGGGAAUAUUGGGCAAUGGGGGAAACCCUGACCCAGCAACGCCGCGUGAAGGAAGAAGGCCUUCGGGUUGUAAACUUCUUUUAGCAGGGACGAAGGACGUGACGGUACCUGCAGAAAAAGCAACGGCUAACUACGUG